RNAcentral lists this ribosomal RNA (468 nucleotides) under uncultured bacterium. RNAcentral's name for it is "partial 16S ribosomal RNA". It matches the Rfam family "Bacterial small subunit ribosomal RNA", at positions 28 to 507 of the family's 1533-position model. The record is from RNAcentral.
GACGAACGCUGGCGGCGUGCUUAACACAUGCAAGUCGAACGGAAAGGCCCUGCUUUUGUGGGGUGCUCGAGUGGCGAACGGGUGAGUAACACGUGAGUAACCUGCCCUUGACUUUGGGAUAACUUCAGGAAACUGGGGCUAAUACCGGAUAGGAGCUCCUGCUGCAUGGUGUGGGUUGGAAAGUUUCGGCGGUUGGGGAUGGUCUCGCGGCUUAUCAGCUUGUUGGUGGGGUAGUUGCUUACCAAGGCUGUGACGGGUAGCCGGCCUGGGAGGGUGACCGGGCACAAGGGGCCUACGAGACGGCCCAGAAUCCUACGGGAGGCAGCAGUGGGGAAUAUUGCACAAUGGGCGGAAGCCUGAGGCAGCAGCGCCGGGUGCGGGAUGACGGGCUUCGGGGUAUAAACCGCUUUCGCAUGUGACGAAGCGUGAGUGACGGUAAUUGGUAAAGAAGCACCGGCUAACUACGUG